This 408-nucleotide ribosomal RNA is filed under the name uncultured bacterium. RNAcentral describes it as "partial 16S ribosomal RNA". It matches the Rfam family "Bacterial small subunit ribosomal RNA", at positions 29 to 526 of the family's 1533-position model. The record is from RNAcentral.
AGUGAACGCUGGCGGCGUGCCUAAUACAUGCAAGUCGCACGGAGUGGCGCACGGGUGAGUAAUAUAUAGCUAAUCUGCCUCUUGUGGGAGGACAACAGUUAGAAAUGACUGCUAAUACUCCAUAGCAAUGGAUGAGACUAUAUCGUAUCAGCUAGUCGGUGGGGUAACGUGCUACUGAGGCUAUGACUGGUAACUGGUCUGAGAGGAUGAUCACUGUAAUUGGAACGGAGACACGGUCAAAACUCCUACGAGAUGCAGCAGUAGUGAAUAGAUCGAAAUGGAGGAAACCCUGACGCAGCAAGGACGCGUGGGGGAUGACACUAUUAGGAGCGUAAACUCCUAUUGUUAGGGAAGCGGUACCUAACGAAUAAGCAACGGCUAACUCCGUGCCAGCAGCCGCGGUAAUUC